Molecule: transfer-messenger RNA, 371 nt
Filed under: Caedibacter sp. 37-49
Lineage: Bacteria; Pseudomonadati; Pseudomonadota; Gammaproteobacteria; Thiotrichales; Fastidiosibacteraceae
Rfam family: Alphaproteobacteria transfer-messenger RNA
About the family: Bacterial tmRNA, also known as 10Sa RNA or SsrA, is named for its dual tRNA and mRNA-like properties. Its role is to liberate the mRNA from a stalled ribosome.
Source: RNAcentral
UCUCUUUCAUUUUUCAGAAAAAUUUUGUAUACUAUAAUUGUUAGGUUUUCCUAGCUAUGACGAUAAACGCGCUACGGAAUAGGUGGAACGGACCCGGGGGCGGUACCCGGCGCCUCCACCAAACCUGUGAGAGACGGCACACAGCUUUCAUGGGGGCGAAAUAGGAUCGACGUACGCUCAAAGGUAGAGGCUUUCGUUCGACAUAGUACCGUCGUAAAUGGACUAUAAAUAGUAAAUGGCAAAUCAAAAUUUGCUCUUAAUGGUAAUGUACCUCAAGCCAUCAAUAACAAUGGCAUCGGGGCUGCAGUUGCACAAGCUGCUUAGUUAUCGUUAGCGGUUCGAGGGGCACCGGGCAACAGAAGCCCCUCACU